AGAGUUUGAUCCUGGCUCAGAACGAACGCUGGCGGCGUGCCUAACACAUGCAAGUCGAACGCGAAAGUCCUUCGGGAUGAGUAAAGUGGCGCACGGGUGAGUAACACGUAGGUGACCUGCCUUUUAGAGGGGAAUAACCAGAAGAAAUUUUGGCUAAUGCCGCAUACGAAAUACAAAAGUAAAAAUAGUAUUUGAAAGGAUGCCUCUGUAUAUGCAUCCACUAAAAGAUGGGCCUGCGGAACAUUAGCUAGUUGGUGGGGUAAAGGCCUACCAAGGCAACAAUGUUUAUCCGGUCUGAGAGGAUGAUCGGACACACUGGAACUGAGACACGGUCCAGACUCCUACGGGAGGCAGCAGUGGGGAAUAUUGCGCAAUGGGGGAAACCCUGACGCAGCAACGCCGCGUGAGUGAGGAAGGACUUCGGUCUGUAAAGCUCUGUUAAUGUGGAAAAAUGGUAGCUGGUCUAAUAGGCCGGCUAUUUGAUGGUACACAUAGAGGAAGCACCGGCUAACUUCGUGCCAGCAGCCGCGGUAAUA
Molecule: ribosomal RNA, 536 nt
Filed under: uncultured bacterium
Lineage: Bacteria
Description: bacterial SSU rRNA
Rfam family: Bacterial small subunit ribosomal RNA
Source: RNAcentral